AGCAGCCGCGGUAAUUCCAGCUCCAAUAGCGUAUAUUAAAGUUGCUGCAGUUAAAAGCUCGUAGUUGAAUUUCGGGACUAAUAUGUCGGUCGUGCCUCGGUACGUACUGGUUUAUUGGUUUCUCCUUUCUGAAGAACCAUGAUGUCAUUUAUUUGGUGUCGUGGGGAACCAGGACUGUUACUUUGAGAAAAAUUAGAGUGUUUAAAAGCAGGCUCACGCUUGAAUACAUUAGCAUGGAAUAAUGAAAUAGGACGUUUGAUUCUAUUUUGUUGGUUUCUAGGAUCGACGUAAUGAUUAAUAGGGAUAGUUGGGGGCAUUAGUAUUCAAUUGUCAGAGGUGAAAUUCUUGGAUUUAUUGAAGACUAACUACUGCGAAAGCAUUUGCCAAGGAUGUUUUCAUUAAUCAAGAACGAAAGUUAGGGAUCGAAGACGAUCAGAUACCGUCGUAGUCUUAACCAUAAACUAUGCCGACUAGGGAUCGGAUGAUGUUAAUUUUUUAAUGACUCAUUCGGCGCCUUACG
Molecule: unclassified non-coding RNA, 520 nt
Filed under: uncultured Glomus
Lineage: Eukaryota; Fungi; Glomeromycota; Glomeromycetes; Glomerales; Glomeraceae
Description: SSU rRNA
Rfam family: Eukaryotic small subunit ribosomal RNA
Source: RNAcentral